CACGAGGCCCCGUGGACAUGAAAAGAUGAAGAUAACGCAAACUUCUAAUUUUGUAUUUGUGCCUUCAAAUAAAUGAGGAAUGAAUCUCCAGCUGUGUGCUGAUUGGAGACAUAACGUUAGUGGUUGAAUCAGCUUUGACUUCGUUUGGGACUACUUUCGCCUUCAGAGCGAAACAGACUGGCCUAAAAUGUGCUGUGGGUCAAACCCCAAAAGUUCAGGGAGUGCACCACGUGUGCGGUGGUGGUGCAAUCUUGUCACCGUGUGCAGUGUUGUGGCGUGUCUAUCACCAACCAAAAUCUCACUGGGUAUCGUGUGUGUGUGAAUGGUUGCACCGAUAGUGUGUGAUAAUUGCAUUUUGUGAGUUGAUUCCAGCUGGCCACAGCCCUGUAAAUCUUUACUCUUUUUGUGUGAUCAGCAACAAGUAACCGAUCAUUAAGUGUGCCAGCGCUCAUGUGAUUUUCCUUUUUUUUAGUAAUUUAUUACUUGGAUUAAUAAAGCUUUGUAUUUUGGUACCCACGUCUCCUCCUCUAUUUUGUGGAAAUGAACCUGUAUUGCCUUGAUUAGCACCUGCGAGUGCGUAAAAUUUCCCUGGGUGCAAGUCCUGGGGUGGCGUCGUCCACUGGUGUUAUGGUU
Molecule: long non-coding RNA, 633 nt
Organism: Carassius auratus (goldfish)
Lineage: Eukaryota; Metazoa; Chordata; Actinopteri; Cypriniformes; Cyprinidae
Exons: 3
Source: RefSeq, a predicted model, not a curated record